RNAcentral lists this ribosomal RNA (460 nucleotides) under uncultured bacterium. Its description in RNAcentral is "partial 16S ribosomal RNA". It matches the Rfam family "Bacterial small subunit ribosomal RNA", at positions 338 to 795 of the family's 1533-position model. The record is from RNAcentral.
CCUACGGGGGGCAGCAGUGAGGAAUAUUGGUCAAUGGACGAAAGUCUGAACCAGCCAAGUAGCGUGAAGGAUGACUGCCCUAUGGGUUGAAAACUUCUUUUAUAUGGGAAUAAAAUGUUCCACGUGUGGGAUUUUGUAUGUACCAUAUGAAUAAGUAUCGGCUAACUCCGUGCCAGCAGCCGCGGUAAUACGGCGGAUCCGAGCGUUAUCCGGAUUUAUGGGGUUUAAAGGGAGCGUAGGUGGAUUGUUAAGUCAGUUGUGAAAGUUUGCGGCUAAACCGUAAAAUUGCAGUUGAAACUGGCAGUCGUGAGUACAGUAGAGGUGGGCGGAAUUCGUGGUGUAGCGGUGAAAUGCUUAGAUAUCACGAAGAACUCCGAUUGCGAAGGCAGUUCACUGGACUGCAACUGACACUGAGGCUCGAAAGUGUGGGUAUCAAACAGGAUUAGAUACCCUUGUAGUC